Molecule: ribosomal RNA, 463 nt
Filed under: uncultured bacterium
Lineage: Bacteria
Description: SSU rRNA
Rfam family: Bacterial small subunit ribosomal RNA
Source: RNAcentral
AGGACUAACGCUGGCGGCGUGCCUAACACAUGCAAGUCGAACGAGGUAGCAAUACCUAGUGGCAGACGGGUGAGUAACGCGUGGUCAACCUACCUCUUAGUGGGGGAUAACUAGCCGAAAGGUUAGCUAAUACCGCAUACGAUCGUCGCGAGGCAUCUCGUGACGAUGAAAGGAGCAAUUCGCUAAGAGAGGGGACUGCGUCCCAUUAGUUAGUUGGUGGGGUAAUGGCCCACCAAGACUCCGAUGGGUAGCUGGCUUGAGAGAGCGACCAGCCACACUGGAACUGAGACACGGUCCAGACUCCUACGGAGGCAGCAGUGAGGAAUUUUCCGCAAUGGGCGCAAGCCUGACGGAGCGACGCCGCGUGUGGGAAGAAGGCCUUCGGGUCGUAAACCACUGUCGAAGGGGACGAUAUUGACGGUACCCUUGGAGGAAGCCCGGCUAACUACGUGCCAGCAGCCGC